GGGACCACCCGGGAGGAGCAGCCUCGAGCCCGGCACCCCGGGAUGGAGAGGAGAGGGGGGUCCCCAGGGAGACCCCGGUCCAGACGGUCCCCAGGGGCCACCAGGGCCACCGGGCCCCCCGGCUCACCCGACCUCGUGCCAGAAAGGGCAGCCGGGAGCGCAGGGCAAGAAGGGGAACCGCGGCAGCGCCGGGCGCGGGGGCGAGAAGGGGCACGGAGGCGCG
This is a long non-coding RNA of Cygnus olor (mute swan), 223 nucleotides long. RefSeq lists it as uncharacterized. The transcript is spliced from 4 exons. The record is from RefSeq and is a predicted model, not a curated record. NCBI's taxonomy places the organism in Eukaryota, Metazoa, Chordata, Aves, Anseriformes, Anatidae.